AGAAUAAUUGCUGGAUUGCAUGGUAAGGUCAUGUUUAAUUUUGUAAGAAGUUGCCAAAUUAUCUUCCAAAGUGUCUAUAACAUUUUGCUCCCACCAGUAAU
Molecule: microRNA precursor, 101 nt
Filed under: Marmota monax (woodchuck)
Lineage: Eukaryota; Metazoa; Chordata; Mammalia; Rodentia; Sciuridae
Source: RNAcentral